This 52-nucleotide transfer RNA is filed under the name Eublepharis macularius. Its description in RNAcentral is "partial tRNA-Cys". Lineage: Eukaryota; Metazoa; Chordata; Lepidosauria; Squamata; Eublepharidae. The record is from RNAcentral.
CUAAAUUGCAAGUUUAGAGAAGCACCUAAAAGUGCCGGGGCUUCUCCCGUUU